This 614-nucleotide long non-coding RNA is filed under the name Homo sapiens (human). RNAcentral describes it as "mir-99a-let-7c cluster host gene". The record is from RNAcentral. Lineage: Eukaryota; Metazoa; Chordata; Mammalia; Primates; Hominidae.
ACAGGGGCAGAAAAUAGCACACUUUUACUCUACGCAACUGUUGCUUUUUCAUGAUCUUCAGGAAUUUUACUGGGAUAAUUAUCCAAAUAAAUUGCAAGCAUUCUAUCCAAAUGGUGAUCUUCUGAGAUAUUUUGAGGGAAAGAGGUAGUAUACCAAAAUGGAAAUACUACGCAAGGAGCUCUUUCUGAGAUGAAGAGAAUUCUCAAUGUCAAGAUUUGAACAAGAAGAGAAUGGAAUACACAAUAUGGACAUCCAUAAAAAUUCAUCAGAGAGCAUUUUACUACUGAGCUGCAAAGGGAAAAACUUAAAAUGGAUAUGAAAAGUGAAGAAAGUGAUCAUAGGAGAAAACCAUUUCAGGUGUCUGAUGAUUUGUGAGCCUCAAGUGACUACUCUGUGGAAUCAUCUGUCCUUGCCUUUGAAUUAGCUUUCCCUAGGCCAUGAGUCAACAUUAGUAGUUUAUACAUCCAAAUUGAUGACAAGAGCACCUCAAAGGCAGCAGCCUCAAGGAGCAGCCAUGGCCCCAGACUUGUCGCACGGAUGCAGAAAACUUAAUGGAGGAGGCUGAGGUCAGAAUGGGAAGAGUUUUUAAAAAAUAAAAAGGGGAGCUAAUAUGU